Molecule: ribosomal RNA, 747 nt
Filed under: uncultured Blautia sp.
Lineage: Bacteria; Bacillati; Bacillota; Clostridia; Lachnospirales; Lachnospiraceae
Description: bacterial SSU rRNA
Rfam family: Bacterial small subunit ribosomal RNA
Source: RNAcentral
GAUGAACGCUGGCGGCGUGCUUAACACAUGCAAGUCGAACGGGAAUUACUUUAUUGAAACUUCGGUCGAUUUAAUUUAAUUCUAGUGGCGGACGGGUGAGUAACGCGUGGGUAACCUGCCUUAUACAGGGGGAUAACAGUCAGAAAUGACUGCUAAUACCGCAUAAGCGCACAGAGCUGCAUGGCUCGGUGUGAAAAACUCCGGUGGUAUAAGAUGGACCCGCGUUGGAUUAGCUAGUUGGUGAGGUAACGGCCCACCAAGGCGACGAUCCAUAGCCGGCCUGAGAGGGUGAACGGCCACAUUGGGACUGAGACACGGCCCAGACUCCUACGGGAGGCAGCAGUGGGGAAUAUUGCACAAUGGGGGAAACCCUGAUGCAGCGACGCCGCGUGAAGGAAGAAGUAUCUCGGUAUGUAAACUUCUAUCAGCAGGGAAGAAAAUGACGGUACCUGACUAAGAAGCCCCGGCUAACUACGUGCCAGCAGCCGCGGUAAUACGUAGGGGGCAAGCGUUAUCCGGAUUUACUGGGUGUAAAGGGAGCGUAGACGGAUGGACAAGUCUGAUGUGAAAGGCUGGGGCUCAACCCCGGGACUGCAUUGGAAACUGCCCGUCUUGAGUGCCGGAGAGGUAAGCGGAAUUCCUAGUGUAGCGGUGAAAUGCGUAGAUAUUAGGAGGAACACCAGUGGCGAAGGCGGCUUACUGGACAGUAACUGACGUUGAGGCUCGAAAGCGUGGGGAGCAAACAGG